AGGAUGAACGCUGGCGGCGUGCCUAACACAUGCAAGUCGAACGUCCUGUCUCGCAAGAGGCAGGGAGUGGCGGACGGGUGAGUACCACGUGGGUCAUCUACCGUGAGGUGAGGAAUACCGGCGAGAAAUCGCCGACAAGACCGCAUAGCCUCGGUGCAAGUUGAGGAAAGCUCUCUCGAGAGAGGGAGCGCCACACGAGGAGCCUGCGCCCGAUUAGCUAGCUGGUGGAGUAAUGGUUCACCAGGGCGACGAUCGGUAGCUGGUCUGAGAGGACGAUCAGCCACACUGGGAUUGAGAACGGCCCAGACUCCUACGGGGGGCAGCAGUGAGGAAUUUCGUCAAUGGGGGCAACCCUGAACGAGCAACGCCGCGUGCAGGAAGAAGGUUUCGGAUCGUAAACUGCUUUUCUCGGGGAAGAGAACGGACGGUACCCGAGGAAUCAGCCCCGGCUAACUACGCGCCAGCAGCCGCGGU
RNAcentral lists this ribosomal RNA (474 nucleotides) under uncultured bacterium. Its description in RNAcentral is "SSU rRNA". It matches the Rfam family "Bacterial small subunit ribosomal RNA", at positions 26 to 521 of the family's 1533-position model. The record is from RNAcentral.